AACGAACGCUGGCGGCAGGCCUAACACAUGCAAGUCGAGCGCCCCGCAAGGGGAGCGGCGGACGGGUGAGUACCGCGUGGGAAUAUGCCCUUUGCUACGGAAUAGUCUCGGGAAACUGGGGGUAAUACCGUAUACGCCCUUUGGGGGAAAGAUUUAUCGGCGAAGGAUUAGCCCGCGUUGGAUUAGGUAGUUGGUGGGGUAAUGGCCUACCAAGCCGACGAUCCAUAGCUGGUUUGAGAGGAUGAUCAGCCACACUGGGACUGAGACACGGCCCAGACUCCUACGGGAGGCAGCAGUGGGGAAUCUUAGACAAUGGGGGCAACCCUGAUCUAGCCAUGCCGCGUGAGUGAUGAAGGCCUUAGGGUUGUAUAGCUCUUUCAGCUGGGAAGAUAAUGACGGUACCAGCAGAAGAAGCCCCGGCUAACUCCGUG
This 431-nucleotide ribosomal RNA is filed under the name uncultured bacterium. RNAcentral's name for it is "partial 16S ribosomal RNA". It matches the Rfam family "Bacterial small subunit ribosomal RNA", at positions 29 to 507 of the family's 1533-position model. The record is from RNAcentral.